UUGUGGGUUAGGUUGGGGUUGAGCUGGAAGCUUACCCUUCUCUUGGGUACUUAGGACGGUAGUCAACAUUAAAAAUUGGUUCCUUAUAUCUUCAAAAUUUCGAGUAUUUUGAGCAUUGAUAUUAGCUUGACCUUGUAGAAAAGUUUGUAUGGAUUGCAAAGUAUCCUCGAUAUUUGGCUUUUGAGAAGGUGAUGGUGCAUAAGGAGGAUGUGCAGGUGGAGGAGCUGAAUGGUGUGACUGUUGAGGAUGAUCGUUUCUCCACCUAAUGUUUGGAUGAUUCUUCCAACCAGGGUUAUAGGUAUUCGAGUAUGGAUCGUUAUAAGGCUUUUGGUAGGAGUUCAUAGCAUUUGCUUGAUCGUGCAAGACUUCUUUGAAUGCCGGUAUGGUGGGACAAUCUGUAGUAGUAUGAC
RNAcentral lists this long non-coding RNA (410 nucleotides) under Phoenix dactylifera (date palm). RNAcentral's name for it is "long non-coding RNA (PDAC_LNC011878)". Lineage: Eukaryota; Viridiplantae; Streptophyta; Magnoliopsida; Arecales; Arecaceae. The record is from RNAcentral.